AUUGAACGCUGGCGGCAGGCCUAACACAUGCAAGUCGAACGAGUGGCGGACGGGGGAGUAAUGUCUGGGGAACUGCGCGCAGGCGGGGGAUAACUAAGGGGAACGGUAGCUAAUACCGCAUACCAUCGGGUGUGCCCAGAUGGGAUUAGCUAGUAGGUGGGGUAACGGCUCACCUAGGCGACGAUCCCUAGCUGGUCUGAGAGGAUGACCAGCCACACUGGAACUGAGACACGGUCCAGACUCCUACGGGAGGCAGCAGUGGGGAAUAUUGCACAAUGGGCGAAAGCCUGAUCCAGCCAUGCCGCGUGUGUGAAGAAGGUCUUCGGAUUGUAAAGCACUUUCAGUUGGGAGGCGUUACCAGCAGAAUAAGCACCGGCUAACUUCGUGCCAGCAGCCGCGGUAAUUC
This 406-nucleotide ribosomal RNA is filed under the name uncultured bacterium. Its description in RNAcentral is "partial 16S ribosomal RNA". It matches the Rfam family "Bacterial small subunit ribosomal RNA", at positions 30 to 526 of the family's 1533-position model. The record is from RNAcentral.